GCCUCCAUUUGCUGUUUGGGAAACCCUCUAUGCUAUGAAUGUUAGCUGGCAGCAAACACUGCCUCCCACUACAGAGGCACACAGUGUUGGUGCCUGCUUUUUCACCCUCCAGUUCCAACAGGAAGCAAGCACAGGACCCAAGCAUUGCAGACAGUUGUAUCAUGCCAAUGUGCAUUCGGAGCCACUGACAGCAGAGUCUUGCUUUGUCACCCAGGCUGGAGUACUGUGGCGUGAUCACAGCUUACUGAAAUGUCUGCCUCCCUGGUUCAAGCGAUUUUUCUGCCUCAGCCUCUAGAGUAGCUGGAAUUACAAUGUUAGCAGUCACUGAUGCUCAUAA
Long non-coding RNA from Nomascus leucogenys (northern white-cheeked gibbon), 337 nucleotides. RefSeq lists it as uncharacterized. The transcript is spliced from 3 exons. NCBI's taxonomy places the organism in Eukaryota, Metazoa, Chordata, Mammalia, Primates, Hylobatidae. The record is from RefSeq and is a predicted model, not a curated record.